GCCCGCUCAGAAACUCAAAUGAAUUGACGGGGCCCGCACAAGCGGAGGAGCAUGUGGUUUAAUUCGAUGAUACGCGAGGAACCUUACCUGGGCUCGAACGUAAGACGACUGUAGGUGAAAGCUUACAUCUCUUCGGAGCAUUUUACGAGGUGCUGCAUGGUUGUCGUCAGCUCGUGCCGUGAGGUGUCGGGUUAAGUCCCAUAACGAGCGCAACCCCUACCUUUAGUUGCCAUCAGGUAAUGCUGGGGACUCUAAAGGAACUGCCUACGCAAGUAGUGAGGAAGGCGGGGAUGACGUCAAAUCAGCACGGCCCUUACGUCCAGGGCUACACACGUGCUACAAUGGCCGAUACAGAGGGCAGCUACCUGGUGACAGGAUGCAAAUCUCCAAAGUCGGUCUCAGUUCGGAUCGGAGUCUGCAACCCGACUCCGUGAAGUUGGAUUCGCUAGUAAUCGCGCAUCAGCCAUGGCGCGGUGAAUACGUUCCCGGGCCUU
RNAcentral lists this ribosomal RNA (494 nucleotides) under uncultured Sphingobacteriales bacterium. Its description in RNAcentral is "bacterial SSU rRNA". It matches the Rfam family "Bacterial small subunit ribosomal RNA", at positions 887 to 1382 of the family's 1533-position model. The record is from RNAcentral. Lineage: Bacteria; Pseudomonadati; Bacteroidota; Sphingobacteriia; Sphingobacteriales.